UCACUAUGAAGCUAAGCUAGCACUAGCCUUUUAAGCUAGAGAGUGGGAGUUGAUUGACCCUCCCCAUAGUGAA
The sequence is a transfer RNA, 73 nucleotides long. It matches the Rfam family "tRNA". From Rfam's summary of the family: Transfer RNA (tRNA) molecules are approximately 80 nucleotides in length. Their secondary structure includes four short double-helical elements and three loops (D, anti-codon, and T loops).